RNAcentral lists this unclassified non-coding RNA (253 nucleotides) under uncultured Hyphomonadaceae bacterium. RNAcentral's name for it is "contains 16S-23S intergenic spacer region". It matches the Rfam family "Bacterial small subunit ribosomal RNA", at positions 524 to 776 of the family's 1533-position model. Lineage: Bacteria; Pseudomonadati; Pseudomonadota; Alphaproteobacteria; Hyphomonadales; Hyphomonadaceae. The record is from RNAcentral.
UACGGAGGGGGCUAGCGUUGUUCGGAAUUACUGGGCGUAAAGCGCACGUAGGCGGAUUGUUAAGUUAGAGGUGAAAGCCCGGAGCUCAACUCCGGAAUAGCCUUUGAUACUGGCAGUCUAGAGUUCAGGAGAGGUGAGCGGAAUUCCGAGUGUAGAGGUGAAAUUCGUAGAUAUUCGGAGGAACACCAGAGGCGAAGGCGGCUCACUGGACUGAUACUGACGCUGAGGUGCGAAAGCGUGGGGAGCAAACAGG